CCAGGGGCGCGCAAAUUACCCAAUCCCGACACGGGGAGGUAGUGACAAUAAAUACUGAUACGGGGCUCUUUCGGGUCUCGUAAUUGGAAUGAGAACAAUCUAAAUCCCUUAACGAGGAACAAUUGGAGGGCAAGUCUGGUGCCCCCACCCGCGGCAACUCCUGCUCCCAUAGCGUAUAUGAAAGUUGUUGCAGUUAAAAAGCUCCUGCUUGAACCUUGGGUCUGGCUGGCCGGUCCGCCUCACCGCGAGGUACUGGUCCGGCUGGAAUUUCCUUCUGGGGAGGCCCUGUGAUUCACUGGCUGUGGCGCUUACCGGGACUUUUUAACGCAAAAAAAGGCACCGGUUAUCCGUCGUCUUUGGGGUGACUCAUUGGACGUGCUGUCCUGUCCGAGAGGAUGCGCUCCGCUUUAGUACCUUUCAUGAACAGGCGGAUGGUGGAGAUUGAUUUUCCGGGGCGUCAAUAUUCUGCUUUCAAAAGUGAAAUUCUUGGAUUUUCUGAAGACUAACUACCGCGAAACCUUUUUCCAAAAA
This 531-nucleotide ribosomal RNA is filed under the name Aspergillus terreus. RNAcentral describes it as "bacterial SSU rRNA". It matches the Rfam family "Eukaryotic small subunit ribosomal RNA", at positions 426 to 964 of the family's 1831-position model. Lineage: Eukaryota; Fungi; Ascomycota; Eurotiomycetes; Eurotiales; Aspergillaceae. The record is from RNAcentral.